UAGCUCAGUUGGUAGAGCAUAACCUUGCCAAGGUUGGGGUCGCGAGUUCGAGUCUCGUUUCCCGCUCCA
This 69-nucleotide transfer RNA is filed under the name Acinetobacter baumannii 99063. RNAcentral's name for it is "partial tRNA-Gly". It matches the Rfam family "tRNA". Rfam says of the family: Transfer RNA (tRNA) molecules are approximately 80 nucleotides in length. Their secondary structure includes four short double-helical elements and three loops (D, anti-codon, and T loops). Further hydrogen bonds mediate the characteristic L-shaped molecular structure. tRNAs have two regions of fundamental functional importance: the anti-codon, which is responsible for specific mRNA codon recognition, and the 3' end, to which the tRNAs corresponding amino acid is attached (by aminoacyl-tRNA synthetases). tRNAs cope with the degeneracy of the genetic code in two manners: having more than one tRNA (with a specific anti-codon) for a particular amino acid; and 'wobble' base-pairing, i.e. permitting non-standard base-pairing at the 3rd anti-codon position. RNAcentral also lists the same sequence under 7 other names. The record is from RNAcentral. Lineage: Bacteria; Pseudomonadati; Pseudomonadota; Gammaproteobacteria; Moraxellales; Moraxellaceae.